RNAcentral lists this ribosomal RNA (466 nucleotides) under uncultured bacterium. RNAcentral's name for it is "bacterial SSU rRNA". It matches the Rfam family "Bacterial small subunit ribosomal RNA", at positions 328 to 792 of the family's 1533-position model. The record is from RNAcentral.
GUGCCAGACUCCUACGGGAGGCAGCAGUGAGGAAUAUUGGUCAAUGGGCGAGAGCCUGAACCAGCCAAGUCGCGUGAGGGAGGACGGCCCUACGGGUUGUAAACCUCUUUUGCCGGGGGACAAACGGCGGCACGCGUGCCGUCCUGAGGGUACCCGGAGAAAAAGCAUCGGCUAACUCCGUGCCAGCAGCCGCGGUAAUACGGAGGAUGCGAGCGUUAUCCGGAUUUAUUGGGUUUAAAGGGUGCGUAGGCGGACUGGAAAGUCAGCGGUAAAAUCGAGAGGCUCAACCUCUUUCCGCCGUUGAAACUGUCGGUCUUGAGUGGGCGAGAAGUAUGCGGAAUGCGUGGUGUAGCGGUGAAAUGCAUAGAUAUCACGCAGAACUCCGAUUGCGAAGGCAGCAUACCGGCGCUCAACUGACGCUCAUGCACGAAAGUGUGGGUAUCGAACAGGAUUAGAUACCCGAGUA